This 497-nucleotide ribosomal RNA is filed under the name uncultured bacterium. Its description in RNAcentral is "partial 16S ribosomal RNA". It matches the Rfam family "Bacterial small subunit ribosomal RNA", at positions 28 to 507 of the family's 1533-position model. The record is from RNAcentral.
GAUGAACGCUGGCGGCGUGCCUAAUACAUGCAAGUCGAGCGAACAGACGAGGAGCUUGCUCCUCUGACGUUAGCGGCGGACGGGUGAGUAACACGUGGAUAACCUACCUAUAAGACUGGGAUAACUUCGGGAAACCGGAGCUAAUACCGGAUAAUAUAUUGAACCGCAUGGUUCAAUAGUGAAAGACGGUUUUGCUGUCACUUAUAGAUGGAUCCGCGCCGCAUUAGCUAGUUGGUAAGGUAACGGCUUACCAAGGCAACGAUGCGUAGCCGACCUGAGAGGGUGAUCGGCCACACUGGAACUGAGACACGGUCCAGACUCCUACGGGAGGCAGCAGUAGGGAAUCUUCCACAAUGGGCGAAAGCCUGACGGAGCAACGCCGCGUGAGUGAUGAAGGUCUUCGGAUCGUAAAGCUCUGUUAUUAGGGAAGAACAAAUGUGUAAGUAACUAUGCACGUCUUGACGGUACCUAAUCAGAAAGCCACGGCUAACUACGUG